ACGAACGCUGGCGGCAGGCCUAACACAUGCAAGUCGAGCGCGCCCUUCGGGGUGAGCGGCGGACGGGUGAGUAACGCGUGGGAACGUGCCCUUUUCUACGGAAUAGCCUCGGGAAACUGAGAGUAAUACCGUAUACGCCCUUUGGGGGAAAGAUUUAUCGGAAAAGGAUCGGCCCGCGUUGGAUUAGGUAGUUGGUGGGGUAAUGGCCUACCAAGCCGACGAUCCAUAGCUGGUUUGAGAGGAUGAUCAGCCACACUGGGACUGAGACACGGCCCAGACUCCUACGGGAGGCAGCAGUGGGGAAUCUUAGACAAUGGGGGCAACCCUGAUCGAGCCAUGCCGCGUGAGUGAUGAAGGCCUUAGGGUUGUAAAGCUCUUUCAGCUGGGAAGAUAAUGACGGUACCAGCAGAAGAAGCCCCGGCUAACUCCGUG
This 432-nucleotide ribosomal RNA is filed under the name uncultured bacterium. Its description in RNAcentral is "partial 16S ribosomal RNA". It matches the Rfam family "Bacterial small subunit ribosomal RNA", at positions 29 to 507 of the family's 1533-position model. The record is from RNAcentral.